UGGGGAAUAUUGCACAAUGGGCGCAAGCCUGAUGCAGCCAUGCCGCGUGUGUGAAGAAGGCAUUCGGGUUGUAAAGCACUUUCAGCGGGGAGGAAGGCGUUAAGGUUAAUAACCUUGGCGAUUGACGUUACCCGCAGAAGAAGCACCGGCUAACUCCGUGCCAGCAGCCGCGGUAAUACGGAGGGUGCAAGCGUUAAUCGGAAUUACUGGGCGUAAAGCGCACGCAGGCGGUUGAUUGAGUCAGAUGUGAAAUCCCCGGGCUUAACCCGGGAAUUGCAUCUGAUACUGGUCAGCUAGAUCCUUGUAGAGGGGGGUAGAAUUCCAUGUGUAGCGGUGAAAUGCGUAGAGAUGUGGAGGAAUACCGGUGGCGAAGGUGGCCCCCUGGACAAAGACUGACGCUCAGGUGCGAAAGCGUGGGGAGCAAACAGG
Molecule: ribosomal RNA, 429 nt
Filed under: Chloroflexota bacterium
Lineage: Bacteria; Bacillati; Chloroflexota
Description: Chloroflexi bacterium partial 16S ribosomal RNA
Rfam family: Bacterial small subunit ribosomal RNA
Source: RNAcentral